Molecule: ribosomal RNA, 851 nt
Filed under: uncultured archaeon
Lineage: Archaea
Description: SSU rRNA
Rfam family: Archaeal small subunit ribosomal RNA
Source: RNAcentral
UCCCAGCAGUCCAAGUCGCAGCCACAAUUAUUGGGGUCUAAAACAUCCGUAGCUUGUUUUGUAAGUCUUUUGUGAAAUCCCAUAUCUCAAGUAUGGGGCCUGCAAGAGAUACUGCAAAACUAGAGACCAGAAGACGUAAGGAGUACAUUUAAGGUAGUAGUAAAAUAUGUUGAUCUUAAAUGGACUAACAAUAGCGAAGGCACCUUAUGAGUAUGGAUCUGACAGUGAGGGAUGAAGGCUAGGGUCGCGAAAGGGAUUAGAUACCCCUGUAGUCCUAGCAGUAAACACUGCACACUAAACAUCGGUAUCUCCUCGGGAGACAUCGGUGCUGUAGGGAAGCCGUAGAGUGUGCUACCUGGGAAGUAUAGUCGCAAGACCGAAACUUAAAGGAAUUGGCGGGGGGGCACUACAACAGGUGACGCGUGCGGUUCAAUUAGAUUCUACACCGUGAACCUCACCAGGAGCGACAGCAGAAUGAAGGUCAGUCUGAAGGGCUUACCUGACACGCUGAGAGGAGUUGCAUGGCCGACGUCAGCCUGUGUCGUGAGAUGACCUGUUAAAUCAGGUAACAGGCGAGACCCAUGUGUAUAGUUGCCAGUAAUAUGUGCACACUAUACAGACUGCCGUGGUAACACGGAGGAAGGUGUGGGCUACGUUAGGUGAGUACGGCCCGAAUCCCCUGGGCUACACGCGCGCGUCAAUGCUAGAUUCAGUGGGCUGCAACUCUGAAAAGAGAAGCUAAUCCUUAAUAUCUAGCUCAGUUUAGAUUGAAGCUUGAAACCCAGCUUCAUGACACCGGAAUCUGUGGUAAUCGUUCUUUAUCAGAGAACGUUGAAUGAGUCCCUGCUCCU